RNAcentral lists this long non-coding RNA (221 nucleotides) under Physcomitrium patens. RNAcentral's name for it is "long non-coding RNA (PPAT_LNC007257)". The record is from RNAcentral. Lineage: Eukaryota; Viridiplantae; Streptophyta; Bryopsida; Funariales; Funariaceae.
GUAAUCCUGCACUAUCCUAAAUGACAGGACAUAAUCAUACUAUAAUCCAAAUUCUGGAGUUCUUCACCAUUAACUGCCUUCACAUUACAGUGUUUCACACAAACACAUACUCAUUCUCUUUGCUGAACUACAAUCAGAUUUCAGCAUUCAAUCUUUCUUCUUUCCAUUUAAUAACAAUCAUACUUCCAUUCCAUAAUUCACUUUCACAAUAUUCAGAAACU